Molecule: ribosomal RNA, 446 nt
Filed under: uncultured bacterium
Lineage: Bacteria
Description: partial 16S ribosomal RNA
Rfam family: Bacterial small subunit ribosomal RNA
Source: RNAcentral
CCUACGGGAGGCAGCAGUCGAGAAUCAUUCACAAUGGGGGAAACCCUGAUGGUGCGACGCCGCGUGGGUGAAUGAAGGUCUUCGGAUUGUAAAUCCCUGCCAUGUGGGAGCAAGUGACAAAGAUAAUACCACAAGAGGAAGAGGCGGCUAACACUGUGCCAGCAGCCGCGGUACUACAGAGGUGUCAAGCGUUGAUCGGAAUCGCUGGGCGUAAAGCGUGCGUAGGCUGUUGCGUGAGUCGUGUGUGAAAGGCGCGGGCUUAACCCGCGGACUGCACAUGAUACUGCGAGACUAGAGUAAUGUAGAGGGAACCAGAAGUCUAGGUGUAGCAGUGAAAUGCGUAGAGAUGGGGAGGAACACUCGUGGCGAAGGCGGGUCCCUGGACAAAGACUGACGCUGAGGCACGAAGGCCAGGGGAGCGAACGGGAUUAGAUACCCCUGUAGUC